GUUGGGUGUGGUGGCACACACCUGUAAUCCCAGUAGCUUGGGAAGCUGAAGCAGGAGGAUCCCAAGUUCAAAGCCAGCCUCAGCAAAAGCGGGGAGGCACUAAGCAACUCAGUGAGACCCUGUCUCUA
RNAcentral lists this small RNA (128 nucleotides) under Marmota monax (woodchuck). Lineage: Eukaryota; Metazoa; Chordata; Mammalia; Rodentia; Sciuridae. The record is from RNAcentral.